AGUGAACGCUGGCGGUAGGCCUAACACAUGCAAGUCGAACGGCAGCACAGGAGGGCUUGCUCUCUGGGUGGCGAGUGGCGGACGGGUGAGGAAUACAUCGGAAUCUGCCCAGUCGUGGGGGAUAACGUAGGGAAACUUACGCUAAUACCGCAUACGACCUUCGGGUGAAAGAGGGGGAUCGCAAGACCUCUCGCGAUUGGAUGAGCCGAUGUCGGAUUAGCUAGUUGGCGGGGUAAUGGCCCACCAAGGCGACGAUCCGUAGCUGGUCUGAGAGGAUGAUCAGCCACACUGGAGCUGAGACACGGUCCAGACUCCUACGGGAGGCAGCAGUGGGGAAUAUUGGACAAUGGGCGCAAGCCUGAUCCAGCCAUACCGCGUGGGUGAAGAAGGCCUUCGGGUUGUAAAGCCCUUUUGUUGGGAAAGAAAUCUUUCAGGCUAAUACCCUGGGAGGAUGACGGUACCCAAAGAAUAAGCACCGGCUAACUUCGUG
Molecule: ribosomal RNA, 490 nt
Filed under: uncultured bacterium
Lineage: Bacteria
Description: partial 16S ribosomal RNA
Rfam family: Bacterial small subunit ribosomal RNA
Source: RNAcentral